GAGAUAUUAGUAAAAUAAAUUACAUCACCUUGUCAAGGUGGAAUUGUAGGUUAAACUCCUGCAUAUCUUU
RNAcentral lists this transfer RNA (70 nucleotides) under Bangana rendahli. RNAcentral describes it as "tRNA-Asp". It matches the Rfam family "tRNA". From Rfam's summary of the family: Transfer RNA (tRNA) molecules are approximately 80 nucleotides in length. Their secondary structure includes four short double-helical elements and three loops (D, anti-codon, and T loops). The record is from RNAcentral. Lineage: Eukaryota; Metazoa; Chordata; Actinopteri; Cypriniformes; Cyprinidae.